This 861-nucleotide ribosomal RNA is filed under the name Shigella sonnei. RNAcentral describes it as "partial 23S ribosomal RNA". It matches the Rfam family "Bacterial large subunit ribosomal RNA", at positions 325 to 1190 of the family's 2925-position model. The record is from RNAcentral. Lineage: Bacteria; Pseudomonadati; Pseudomonadota; Gammaproteobacteria; Enterobacterales; Enterobacteriaceae.
UGUGUUAGUGGAAGCGUCUGGAAAGGCGUGCGAUACAGGGUGACAGCCCCGUACACAAAAAUGCACAUAUUGUGAGCUUGAUGAGUAGGGCGGGACACGUGGUAUCCUGUCUGAAUAUGGGGGGACCAUCCUCCAAGGCUAAAUACUCCUGACUGACCGAUAGUGAACCAGUACCGUGAGGGAAAGGCGAAAAGAACCCCGGCGAGGGGAGUGAAAAAGAACCUGAAACCGUGUACGUACAAGCAGUGGGAGCACGCUUAGGCGUGUGACUGCGUACCUUUUGUAUAAUGGGUCAGCGACUUAUAUUCUGUAGCAAGGUUAACCGAAUAGGGGAGCCGAAGGGAAACCGAGUCUUAACUGGGCGUUAAGUUGCAGGGUAUAGACCCGAAACCCGGUGAUCUAGCCAUGGGCAGGUUGAAGGUUGGGUAACACUAACUGGAGGACCGAACCGACUAAUGUUGAAAAAUUAGCGGAUGACUUGUGGCUGGGGGUGAAAGGCCAAUCAAACCGGGAGAUAGCUGGUUCUCCCCGAAAGCUAUUUAGGUAGCGCCUCGUGAAUUCAUCUCCGGGGGUAGAGCACUGUUUCGGCAAGGGGGUCAUCCCGACUUACCAACCCGAUGCAAACUGCGAAUACCGGAGAAUGUUAUCACGGGAGACACACGGCGGGUGCUAACGUCCGUCGUGAAGAGGGAAACAACCCAGACCGCCAGCUAAGGUCCCAAAGUCAUGGUUAAGUGGGAAACGAUGUGGGAAGGCCCAGACAGCCAGGAUGUUGGCUUAGAAGCAGCCAUCAUUUAAAGAAAGCGUAAUAGCUCACUGGUCGAGUCGGCCUGCGCGGAAGAUGUAACGGGGCUAAACCAU